This 472-nucleotide ribosomal RNA is filed under the name uncultured bacterium. RNAcentral describes it as "bacterial SSU rRNA". It matches the Rfam family "Bacterial small subunit ribosomal RNA", at positions 335 to 799 of the family's 1533-position model. The record is from RNAcentral.
ACUCCUACGGGAGGCAGCAGUGAGGAAUAUUGGACAAUGGGCGGAAGCCUGAUCCAGCCAUGCCGCGUGCAGGAAGACUGCCCCUAUGGGUUGUAAACUGCUUUUUAUACAGGAAGAAUAAGUCCGACGUGUCGGAUGAUGACGGUACUGUAAGAAUAAGGAUCGGCUAACUCCGUGCCAGCAGCCGCGGUAAUACGGAGGAUUCGAGCGUUAUCCGGAAUCAUUGGGUUUUAAAGGGUUCGUAGGCGGGUUUGUAAGUCAGGGGUGAAAGUUUUACGGCUCAACCGUGAAAUUGCCUUUGAUACUGCAGAUCUUGAAUAUUUGUGAAGUAACUAGAAUAUGUGGUGUAGCGGUGAAAUGCAUAGAUAUCACAUGGAAUACCGAUUGCGAAGGCAGGUUACUAACAGAUUAUUGACGCUGAUGGACGAAAGCGUGGGUAGCGAACAGGAUUAGAUACCCUGGUAGGACAGUG